CAGCCGGCGGUAAGACGAACCGUGCGAACGUUAUUCGGAAUCACUGGGCUUAAAGCGCGUGUAGGUGGGUGGGUACGUCCGUCGUUGAAAGCCCCCGGCUCAACCGGGGAACUGGCGCGGAUACGGCCUACCUGGAGGGACGUAGGGGGACCUGGAACUUCCGGUGGAGCGGUGAAAUGCGUUGAGAUCGGAAGGAACGCCCGUGGCGAAAGCGAGGUCCUGGACGUUUUCUGACACUGAGACGCGAAAGCCAGGGGAGCGAACGGGAUUAGAUACCCGCGUAGUCCCUGUCUCUUAUACA
Molecule: ribosomal RNA, 301 nt
Filed under: uncultured bacterium
Lineage: Bacteria
Description: partial 16S ribosomal RNA
Rfam family: Bacterial small subunit ribosomal RNA
Source: RNAcentral